AUUGAACGCUGGCGGCAGGCUUAACACAUGCAAGUCGAGCGGGGAAGAGUAGCUUGCUACUUAACCUAGCGGCGGACGGGUGAGUAAUGCUUAGGAAUCUGCCUAUUAGUGGGGGACAACAUCUCGAAAGGGAUGCUAAUACCGCAUACGUCCUACGGGAGAAAGCAGGGGACCUUCGGGCCUUGCGCUAAUAGAUGUGCCUAAGUCGGAUUAGCUAGUUGGUGGGGUAAAGGCCUACCAAGGCGACGAUCUGUAGCGGGUCUGAGAGGAUGAUCCGCAACACUGGGACUGAGACACGGCCCAGACUCCUACGGGAGGCAGCAGUGGGGAAUAUUGGACAAUGGGGGGAACCCUGAUCCAGCCAUGCCGCGUGUGUGAAGAAGGCCUUUUGGUUGUAAAGCACUUUAAGCGAGGAGGAGGCUACCGAGAUUAAUACUCUUGGAUAGUGGACGUUACUUGCAGAAUAAGCACCGGCUAACUCUGUGCCAGCCGCCGCCGUAA
Molecule: ribosomal RNA, 501 nt
Filed under: uncultured bacterium
Lineage: Bacteria
Description: partial 16S ribosomal RNA
Rfam family: Bacterial small subunit ribosomal RNA
Source: RNAcentral